This 553-nucleotide ribosomal RNA is filed under the name uncultured bacterium. Its description in RNAcentral is "partial 16S ribosomal RNA". It matches the Rfam family "Bacterial small subunit ribosomal RNA", at positions 355 to 900 of the family's 1533-position model. The record is from RNAcentral.
UAGGGAAUCUUCCACAAUGGACGCAAGUCUGAUGGAGCAACGCCGCGUGAGUGAAGAAGGUUUUCGGACCGUAAAGCUCUGUUGUUGGUGAAGAAGGAUAGAGGUAGUAACUGGCCUUUAUUUGACGGUAAUCAACCAGAAAGUCACGGCUAACUACGUGCCAGCAGCCGCGGUAAUCGUAGGUGGCAAGCGUUGUCCGGAUUUAUUGGGCGUAAAGCGAGCGCAGGCGGAAGAAUAAGUCUGAUGUGAAAGCCCUCGGCUUAACCGAGGAAUUGCAUCGGAAACUGUUUUCUUGAGUGCAGAAGAGGAGAGUAGAACUCCAUGUGUAGCGGUGGAAUGCGUAGAUAUAUGGAAGAAUACCAGUGGCGAAGGCGGCUCUCUGGUCUGCAACUGACGCUGAGGCUCGAAAGCAUAGGUAGCGAACAGGAUUAGAUACCCUGGUAGUCCAUGCCGUAAACGAUGAGUGCUAAGUGUUGGGAGGCUUCCGCCUCUCAGUGCUGCAGCUAACGCAUUAAGCACUCCGCCUGGGGGAGUACGACCGCAAGGUUGAAAC